GGUCCCCGGGGAGCCGGGAGGCAGGAAGCUCAGCAAGUGCGGCUGAGCACGCGGCAGGAGCAGGCGCUGCGGAAGAAGCGGCACUGGCAGGAGGCGCACGGGUCGCAGCAGGCGGGUGACGGUGGCCAGCAGCUCUUGGAAACGCUGGGGCUGCCCGAGACGGCCACGCCCGCCCCACCCGUCCUCACCUCUGCCUGGCAACUCCUUGAGGGAAUCCCACGCAGCUCCACACUUUAAAAAAACUACCAUCUCUGGUGUCUCCCUUCCAGUUGCACACAACCCCUGCAGUUCUGCCUUCACAGUCCAUCCGAGGUUCAUCCACUUCCUCACCACCUCUGCUACCCUGGGCCAGGUCCUGGUUAUCUUCCGUCUGCUGUCCUGGUUCCCUGACAGUCCACCCUCCAGUGCACCAAAGGGACCUCUCCUGAAACCUAUGAUGGCAUCUACUCUGGCCUAAACUCCCCAGUGGUUUUCUUUGCAGCUAGAAUGAAACAAACUUGACUUGGCCAUUGAGGCCCUCUGUGGUGGACCCCGCCCACCUUUCAGACCUAUCUGCCGCACUGCCUCGCUGGCCUGCUUUCUGUGCAUGGAAAAUGAGUUCCUGCUGCAGGGCCUUUGAGCUGGCCACCCCCUUCCUAGGGACAGUGCUGUUCAAUACAGGUAGCCACUAGUCAUAUGUGUAUGUGGCUCCUGAGUACUUGAAAUGAGUCUAGUGCAACUGAAGAACUGAAGCUUCAAAUUUUAUUUAAUUUUAAUUAAAACUAGUGUAAAAUUUUUUCACUAAAAACUUUGUUAGGACUACAUUUGACUUAAACUGUUAAAAAGUAGCAUUGGAAUUGAGAUGUGCUGUAAAUGUAAAAUAUACACCAGGUUUCAAAGAGUGCAAAAAAAUGAAUGUAAAAUAUCUCAACUUUUAAUAUUGAUUACAUAUUAAAAUAAUAUUUUGGAUAUACUGGGUUAAAUAUUUUCAAGUACGUGCUUCUUUUUACUUUUUAAAAUGUGGCUACUAGAAAAUUUUAAAUUGUAUGUGUGGCUCACUGUAUUUCUUUUGGGCAUAGCUGCUCGAGAUUACUGCAUUUUUUAGUCUUUAUAUUUAAGCGCUGCUUCUUUAGGCUUUCUCCAACCAGCCUUCCCUUCAGUGUGUCUCAUUACUAUGCUUUAAGUUCCUUCACAAUGUUUAUCAUCAUCUGAAUAUAUUUUACCUAUUUAUUGGUUUACUUGUUCACCUCUUUUCCCCACAGGAACGUAAGCUUCAUGAAAUCAGAUGUAUCUCUCUUGUUCGCUUCUACAUUCCUAGUACCUAGCAUGUAAAUUGAUUUGUCAAUUAUAUAUUCUUAUAUGUCAAUCAUCUGAUCUGCUUGUUUACUUUACUGAAGGCCCAGAGAGGACCAGGGACUUUCUCAAGACCACACAGUGCCAGGACCCAUUUCCCAAUGCCUAAUCCAGGACUCCCUGCUUUGGCUACAGCUGAUGUGAUAAACUGAGGCGCACUAAGACAGGAAUAAUGUGUAUGUUUCACAUUAUAAAUAAGGCAUUCAACAAUGCCUUAAUCCAGUAUUUCCUAAAGUGUGAAAAGCUGUACUAUGGUGGUGUGAUUUUAGGUGGAACAUGAAUAUUAAAUGAUGCUGAAUCGUGUUGGUGAGAAAGGAUGCCUUUUUCAAUCUCUUUCAUCUUGAAAGGCUCAGUUUGGUGUCAGUAUAUCCUUAAUGGUUCCCUAACACUUUCCAGUCUGCCUUUUAACAUAGAGAGUAAGCCUCAGAUUUAGAGCCUUUGGUAGGCAACACUAUCCAAAUGAAUCUCCUAACAAUAUUCUAUUUUCAUGUUACUUAUUUUUGUGGUUACCUUCUAUUUAUGAUAAGUAAUACUGGUUUUCUAUCACAGUUAUAUAUACAUAUAUAUUUUUUAAGUUUUAAUUUUAAACAAAUAUAUUAAAUAGAUGAAAAUCAGUCAUGGCAAAAGUUGUGGAAAUGGUUCUGAAAUAACUGAAGUUUAGAAAACAUUGAAUUUAUACAAAAGAAUGAGUGAAGGGACUGUUGGUUACCAUGGGGAAGCAGUUGGGGUAAGGGGGUGGGAAGGGGGUUAAAGGGGCACAAAAAUUGUCAAUCAUAGUGUAGGUUGGUCAUGGGGAUAGUAAUACAGCAUGGAGAAUAUAGCCAAUGAUUCUGUAACAUCUUCCUUUGUUGACAGAUAGAGGCUGUACUGCGGUGAGGGGAGGAUUUAAUAAUAUGGCUAACUGUUGAACCAUUGUGUGGUAUACUUGAAACUAAUAUAAGAUUAUAUAUCAACUAGAUUUCAGCUAAAAAAAGAAAGAGUGAUGGUGGAAUUUCAGGUGGAGGGAUAGCUAGCAUAAGAAGAUGCUUUAUUAGUAGGUAAGCUAUUUUGCUCGAUAGACCUCAGCUCUCCGAGCUUCUGCUGGGUGAUGUGGUGGUCUGGCUCAGGCACAUUGAAGGUGAUCAAUGUGAGCACAUUCCCUGCUCUUUCCUGACAGGUCUAGAAUAUCCUGUUUUCCUGGUGAGAGGCAAGGCAGUAAAGGAUGUUAGUUUUGAACUUAGGUUCUGGAGUUAAAUAUCCAGGUUUGAAUUCUAGCUCUGCUAAGUAAGAACUGUGUGAUUUUAUGUUAGUUACUGAACAAGGAAGGCCAGGAAGCCUUUAGGUGGCUUUCAGUUUCUUUCAUUCAUGUAGUUCUGGAAAAUAUUUCAUUUAGUUCUUAGCAAGAACUCCCUU
Manis pentadactyla (Chinese pangolin) is the source of this 2724-nucleotide long non-coding RNA. RefSeq lists it as uncharacterized. The transcript is spliced from 3 exons. The record is from RefSeq and is a predicted model, not a curated record. Lineage: Eukaryota; Metazoa; Chordata; Mammalia; Pholidota; Manidae.